This is a non-coding RNA of Dictyocaulus viviparus (bovine lungworm), 117 nucleotides long. NCBI's taxonomy places the organism in Eukaryota, Metazoa, Nematoda, Chromadorea, Rhabditida, Metastrongylidae. The record is from Rfam.
GCACGGAUGGCCGAGUGGUCUAAGGCGCCAGACUCAAGAACUAUCUUCCCGCGAGAUAGCGGGUUUGGGAAUUCUGGUACUCGUAAGGGUGCGUGGGUUCAAAUCCCACUCCGUGCA